Molecule: ribosomal RNA, 253 nt
Filed under: uncultured bacterium
Lineage: Bacteria
Description: partial 16S ribosomal RNA
Rfam family: Bacterial small subunit ribosomal RNA
Source: RNAcentral
UACGGGGGGGGCAAGCGUUGUCCGGAUUUAUUGGGCGUAAAGAGCGUGUAGGCGGCUAGAUAGGUCCGUUGUGAAAACUCGAGGCUCAACCUCGAGACGUCGAUGGAAACCAUCUGGCUAGAGUCCGGAAGAGGAGAGUGGAAUUCCUGGUGUAGCGGUGAAAUGCGCAGAUAUCAGGAAGAACACCCGUGGCGAAGGCGGCUCUCUGGUACGUGACUGACGCUGAGACGCGAAAGCGUGGGGAGCAAACAGG